UGGUCGAUGAUGACAUGACCAUUGUGCAGUUUGAGUUCUAGGAACCAGGUGAUGGAGUGUGUGCUGAAAGUGGACUGAGACCG
This is a non-coding RNA of Suricata suricatta (meerkat), 83 nucleotides long. The record is from Ensembl. NCBI's taxonomy places the organism in Eukaryota, Metazoa, Chordata, Mammalia, Carnivora, Herpestidae.